UUUGUAGGCUUUACCUGUCCAGCAUCCUUCUGGCACUGUCUUUGAGGUUUCUUCCUUCAACUCUGCACAACUUUGACACCUGAAUAACACAUGCCAAUGUCAGGCGGGUAGUAUUAUAUGCGUCCGUGUACAAGUGUUUACCAACCUUAAA
Sinocyclocheilus anshuiensis is the source of this 151-nucleotide long non-coding RNA. RefSeq lists it as uncharacterized. The record is from RefSeq and is a predicted model, not a curated record. The transcript has 2 exons. NCBI's taxonomy places the organism in Eukaryota, Metazoa, Chordata, Actinopteri, Cypriniformes, Cyprinidae.